This 5215-nucleotide long non-coding RNA is filed under the name Sus scrofa (pig). RNAcentral's name for it is "lncRNA (ENSSSCG00060057530.1)". Lineage: Eukaryota; Metazoa; Chordata; Mammalia; Artiodactyla; Suidae. The record is from RNAcentral.
UUGUUGUUGUUGCUAUUUCUUGGGAUGUUUUUCGGUUUUAGAGUCUGUGUCCCCCACUGUCCAUCACUGAGCCUGCGGGGGCGGGGGUUCUGCACCCAUGAAGGCAUUUGCCUGGCACUUAUUGUCAAGUUGAAAACUUGAUCCGUUUUUUCAAGGGUGAAUGGGGCUCCAAAGAGUGGAGAGAUGAUGUCCCCUUGACUUGGAAAGACUAGAGGGCAGGUUUCAGACAGUGUCAAAAUGCCCAGAGCCCCCUCUGGUGACAAGGUGUGCAGUUUUGAUGAGGCCUACCAGGAGCUCUCCCUUAGCCCACAAAGCCCCACCAGCCACUCGGCCCUAGAAGCCGGGUCCAUUGGCAAAGAAACCUCAAGGGAAAGUCUCCGGCCAGUGAACUAAGUUCACUAAGAACAUACUCAAGAGCACAACCGACCUCAAAUCCCAGGUGACCCAGGAAGGGAAGGCCAGCACCACGAGAAAGACUCUUCUCUCUCUCUCUUUUUUCCUUAUGGCUACACCUGCGACGUAGGAAGCUCCCAGGCUAGGGGUUGAAUGGGGGCUGCAGCUGCCUGCCUACACCACAACCACAGCAAUGCUGAAUCCAAGCCACAUCUUCGACCUACACUACCACUUGCAGCAACAGUGGAUCCUUAACCCACUGAGCGAGGCCAGGGAUCGAACCUGCGUCCUCAUGGAUACUAGUCGGGUUCCAUGAGCCACAAGGGGAACUCUGAGAGGCUCUUCUUUAAAGCAGAACUCACGCCUCCUCCUUCUAAUUAAGCAACAGAUAGAGUCUGUUCUUAGGCGUGUUGGUGGUCUGUCCAUCAUAGCCCAAGGUAAGGGUGUCUAAUAGCCCAUCGUUCGUCUCCCACUGAGGUUGGGACUAAACCCAGACAAAAGCCACACAAAACCCACCAUGCCUCCAUACGGCCCAGGAGAGACGGCUGCCAGCCUGACAUGAUCUGGCAAGGUCCUACAGGCCUGCCCGCCCUUGGUUCUCUCUCCAUCCUGGGUCCGACACGGUCCCCUAGACCCGAGUCUGAAUGGACAUCGAUCGCCAGAGAGGGGGGCUGGUCCUCGGUCAGUAAUUACCGCCUUUGUCCAGCCAGCCCGCCUUGAUCAGAAGAGAGCGCCACCGGGGAAUAGGGCAGAGGCACUGCCUAGAAGAGGUGAGAGAGUCAAGGAAAGAUGCUGGAAGAUGGGGAAGCGCCUGGGACCCACCGGUCCCAGCAGGAUGAUAGAUGAAGCCGCCGUCCCCCCCUGUCAGACAGCCCUGGGUUCAAAUCCGGCUCCUCCACUCCCCUCCUAGCUCUGUGAUACUGGGACGACUACCUCACGUCUCGAAGUAACAGCAUCUGCGAAGCACGGAUGUUUCCUACUUGGUGGUGUUGGAGGAUUGAAGGAGCUCAGGCAGGGAAAGCUAAGCAGUGUCUGGCACGUAACAGACACUCGCUAACAAGGCUUUUCCUCUCCUCCGUGGGCAGGACUGUGGCAGCCUCUUCGCCAUGGUCCUUGGACCUCCCCCUUAGGAUAACUUUCACAUCUUGUCUUUGCUUUUCUGCUGACAGUUCAGGCAACAUUACAGGUCAAUUCACCUGCAGCAGCUCUGAGCUGAGGUUGCGGCUGGAUACCACCUUGCCUGCAGCCCUGAGCCCUGCACACUGGGAACACCAACAGCGGUCAAACGUAUUGACCUGUAUGUCUUUUUACUCCCAGAGGCCUCUCUACAAGGGCAAUUCAGAGGGCUAUUCAUUUUUUAUUGUGAUAGAUAGUCAUAUCUAUCUUUGGCUUAAUUGCAAGGCUUGAAUUUUUAACCUCUAAAGCGAUAGUGAGUUGUUAAUUUUCUGUUUUGCCUUGUGAUGAAGUAGAAAAGCCAGAAUGUCAGCAAUCUGGGAAGCCCCUGCUGCUCCCCAGCACCAUGCUGGGCACGAGGAAAACAGAGUCAAAGACGAACCUGUCCCCCUGGGCGUUCACAGCCUCGGUGAGGAGCGGAAGAAUGUAAACUCAAUUAAAUAGAAAACGGUUGGGGGGCGAAUGGAACACAGGGGUGGUGAGCCUGUGGGGGGAUGGAUGCGUGCCCUUGGGACUUGGAACUGGAGGCAAUUCCAUUGCUGAGGUAACUACACACUGACACAAGACGGGUCCGGAGGGAGGGCACGUUUCCUGAGAGAGAGAGAGAGAGAGAGAGAGAGGGAGGGAGGGAGGGAUGGGAGUCAUGGCUGUGAUCUUACAGAAGGUGUUCAAAGCUAAGGAAUAAGUGUGUCAAUCUGGAGAUUCAGACACGGUCCCCCAAAGGCAAUGGUCCCCCUUUGAGGACCAGGGGGUCUCCGUCCCAGGGGACCCAAAACAGAACAUCUAUUUCCAUCUUGUCUACCCGUUAAAUUGUCUAUGUACGGGUAUGCUUUCCAGUGUGCAAAAUAUAUUAGUCCAGGAGAAUAUGAUUUAUAAAUAAGUAGAUUCAUUGGGUGUUUGCGCUCAAAAUGGGGUUUUCCCCCUCUUGUGGGGCACAUUAAAAAGGAAUCUGAAAAACCACUGAAAAUUGGUAGGAAAGUAGCCCUGCCACACCUUGCCCUUGGACUUCAGCCUCCAGAACUGUGGGAAUUCACGUUUCUGCGGUUUGAGGCCCCCAGGUGCUGGCGGGAGAUUGGAAGCCUCUCCAGUCCGCAGGGAACCCGCCCCUCUUUGGUGCCCCAGCUCCCCCAGCUCCCAGCCUCAUUCCUCCCAGGCUGCCUCAUUCUGAGUCCUUUGGAAGCAGCAGAAGCUGGAUCAGGAAAUAACUCUCCCACCAGCCCCAGACUAGCACCACCUGCCCAGCCUUCCGCUUGUGCCUCUUCUCCACACGUGGCUGGGGACACCCCUGUGCCAGCGCCCCCCAGGACUGAAGCCAUCACUGGUCAGUGACUUGCCCAGCUAAGUAAGUUGACAGCUAUGAGCAGUAUCAAAAUCCAUCCCUAAUUAUUCAGUCUACACCCUUGGCAGAUGACUGCCAACAUGCUCCCCAUGUCUGCCAAGUGACUUCCAAACUUUUUCUCUUUUGGUCUUUUCAGGGCCGAACCCUCGGCAUACAGACGUUCCCAGGCCAGGGGUCGAACCCACACUUCAUCAGCGACGGGAGCCACUACAGAGACAACACUGGAUUCUUACCCUGCAGAAACUGUGAGAUAUUUUUACUCACAUUGUGAUUCCUACACAAAAUGCCAAAGUGUGAAAAAUAAAUUUUUCUUGGGAGGUGAUACGGACCUCAGGAGGGCAGUGGACACUGUUGUGAAGAAAACUCACCGGCUUUAAGCGACAUAUCUAAGUUCUUUGGCCUCAGUUGUCUCAUCGAGAAAGUGGGAUUAAACGUUUCCUUAUCUGAGUGUUGUAAGCACUGCGUUUGGUCCAGAGUUAAGCUUAGGAAUAGUCGAGAAAUAAGUUUCGAACAAAGUGUCAAGCUGCAUGACAAAGAAGCAUCUCUCUUUCAUUAAUGUCCUGUGACAGAGUGAGCAGCAGAGACACAAUGAAAGGAUUCCGUAGCAGUUGAUUUUUCACAGAGACGAGAAAAGUGGUUUCUUUCUCUGUCCCAGAACUAAGGCUUGGUCAGAGGAUUUCAACAGAUAAUAACCAAAUGUCUGCAGGAAAUUUGCAGAAACAAUUGAUUUCCUUCCCAAGGACUGGAAAUGGCGCGGGCAGUUGGGCAAUAAAGGAGCUGCCGUAAUUUUCUGCUCCAUUUCUACGACGGCAACAAAAACAUGAUGGCGGAGAACACCGCCAAGUGACAAUCUUCAUUUCAUUCCUCGGGGCUGGAAAACACAUCCGUUUAUUAAGUCUCUAAAAGCUGGAACCACAGAUUGCAGCAACGAGAUGCGACAGAGAAAAGAUUAGUUGGGUUGAGCCAACCGUAUGUGGCAACCGAAUGAAAAGAUGGUUCGAAAUGGUGCCCGUAUGGAGAAGCAGCGGGCCAGUCCCUGGGAAGAGCAUGAACAAAGAGGUCUCAUUUACAUCCGACGUGAAGUGUGUCUUCCUAGGCGCCUGGCAAGCUCCCUAGAAAAGGAGAUUAAUGCAAGUGGGGAAUAUGAACUCUCUCUAGCAAACCACGUCCAUUUUCCGCCUGGGGAGGGCUCUGAGUGAUGGAUGCCACUGACCUUGGAGGAGGAGGAUGUGAACGAGGUCUGUCCCAGUGCCUUCCGCUGCUUCCCGACUCUUCCCAACUUGCCUUUCACAGUGAAGUCUCAUCUGUCCCAACAUCCCUGGGCAAAGAGCGAGUCCACCUGAAUGCAUUUCACCAAAAAGAGGCUUUCCCUCUGUUCAAAUUUCAAAUGCUGAUUUAUGUCAAGUUGAACAUAUUUGUGUAGAAGUCUUUUCAGAAUUAAUGCCAGGCUUCCCUGCCCUCUCGGCAGGUACCCGUUUGGUGAGCUGGCCUAUGAGUCAGUACAGGGCACAGAGCCGGCUUAGAAGGGCACUAGACAGUGUCCCAUGCUUCUUGCUCUAUCACUUUAUUUCUUUUUAUAAUUCAAGGUCAUCAAUGUGACUCCUGCAGAGGGAGGGGUGCCUCUGUAGAGGUGGACAAGGUGUGAGAUGAAGCUGGGGAGAUACAAAGGGCUAUAUGCUUUUUGAGUAUUUGCGCCUGAGAUUUUUCUCCCUUACCCCUUUCACCACUAGGCUCUAUGAAUGGCCAUUUCUUGGUCCUCUUGUCCACGGUGCCCUCCCAGGCUCCGUGCCCUCCCUGAACACCAGACCUGCUCCUAAGACUCUCCGCUGGAAAGCUCCAGAAGAACACGGAACAGGUAACUCAACAGACACUGCCAGAACCGGCACCUGCUCUGACUCCCCAAACCUCGGCCCCCCACUCGUCCUCCUCUCAGCAAGGGAAACUCCAUCCUGCCAGUUACUGAGGUCCCAGGACUUGGAGUCACUCUUGACGACUUUCCUUCUCUCUCCCCACCUCCAGGGAAAUAAGCAAAUCCGGGAAGCCUGACCCUCAGAAGAGGGAGGAGGCAGAAGCUGAUGACUCCUCCCCUUCCCACGGCAGCCACCCUGGUCCAAGCCACCGCCUCCUCUCUCCUAGGUCACUGCAGACUUCCCACCUGGCCGCCUGGUUUCUGGCCUCGUCUCCCUGUAAUCAAUCCAAGGAUUCCUCCAAGUCACACUCGGUGGGUGGCCUGUGAGGUCCAUGCCUCUGGACUGUCAUGAGCCCUCUGACCUUGUCACCUUCCUCCUUCCAGUCCACUAGGCUCCACCC